This 495-nucleotide ribosomal RNA is filed under the name uncultured bacterium. Its description in RNAcentral is "partial 16S ribosomal RNA". It matches the Rfam family "Bacterial small subunit ribosomal RNA", at positions 28 to 507 of the family's 1533-position model. The record is from RNAcentral.
GACGAACGCUGGCGGCGUGCCUAAUACAUGCGAGUAGAACGCUGAAGGAGGAGCUUGCUUCUCUGGAUGAGUUGCGAACGGGUGAGUAACGCGUAGGUAACCUGCCUGGUAGUGGGGGAUAACUAUUGGAAACGAUAGCUAAUACCGCAUAAUAGCAGUUGUUGCAUGAUAACUGUUUGAAAGGUGCAAUUGCACCGCUACCAGAUGGACCUGCGUUGUAUUAGCUAGUUGGUGGGGUAACGGCUCACCAAGGCGACGAUACAUAGCCGACCUGAGAGGGUGAUCGGCCACACUGGGACUGAGACACGGCCCAGACUCCUACGGGAGGCAGCAGUAGGGAAUCUUCGGCAAUGGACGGAAGUCUGACCGAGCAACGCCGCGUGAGUGAAGAAGGUUUUCGGAUCGUAAAGCUCUGUUGUAAGAGAAGAACGAGUGUGAGAGUGGAAAGUUCACACUGUGACGGUAUCUUACCAGAAAGGGACGGCUAACUACGUG